ACUGUGAUGAGGAUAUGCGAAGCAAAAUCUGGUCUGCCAAAAAACCUUGGUGUCGGUUCGGUUGAGGUGAACUCUGGCGCGGUUUGAGUGCAUAUGUGAACGGCAAGCGGACCAGAGAUCACACUAAAAAGCAGCAAGCGGACUACAGCGCAAGGCAUUCUGGGUAAAUACAA
This is a long non-coding RNA of Poecilia latipinna (sailfin molly), 173 nucleotides long. RefSeq lists it as uncharacterized. The transcript is spliced from 3 exons. The record is from RefSeq and is a predicted model, not a curated record. Lineage: Eukaryota; Metazoa; Chordata; Actinopteri; Cyprinodontiformes; Poeciliidae.